Molecule: non-coding RNA, 1190 nt
Organism: Delphinapterus leucas (beluga whale)
Lineage: Eukaryota; Metazoa; Chordata; Mammalia; Artiodactyla; Monodontidae
Source: RefSeq, a predicted model, not a curated record
UUAAGCGUCUCUCGGUAGGCUUUCGGUCUCAUUCUUCCACAGAUUUCGGGUUCGGGCGCGCGUCGAGCACUAAAGGAUAGCAAAGAGUUCUCGUUACAAUGUGGUUUAAAUCAAAAGACCUUAUGGGUGGGAGGAUGGGACAAGACCUGUCCCUGUGUGGAUCAAGCAUUAUGGCGAUGCUCCAGCAUCUCAUCACCAAUCCUAAGGAAUUCAGCUACCUCCCAGGGUGAAUGCAGUGUUGCCUUUUUGCUCCUUCCAGCUUGUUCCUCUUGGAAUGAUAUUCCUGGGGAGGGAGAUGGCAGCCCAGCAAGCGGCACAGUUGGUUCUUGUGAUGGUGUGCUCUUCCCUCACCCACAUGUCACUGUCAGAUGAUUUGAAUGAUAAUGCUGAUUCUCUGUGAGGUUGUCCUCAUUGUGAUGUAUACAUCUGUCUUACAAUGCCUCUUGAUCUGCUCAGGGUCAAACUCCUGGAAAGAGUUGAGAAUCGAGCAGCUUGUUCCUUGUUCCUGUAUUACUCCUGGAAAGCCUCCCGAGUUGAAAGGUACCAUUGCCAGUUACCUGCUUCUUUGCUCAAAGGUCCAAUUCCUUGUCUGGAGCCUGAGAAUGAAUUGAGGUAAAUCUGUCAUCUGUGGCUACUAUAUAGAAUUUGCCAGGGUUUUUUGUGGCACUUUGGAUAGCUGUGCAGACAUUACUUGUUUAAUCCAAAGUUUGUCUUUGGCCAUUUGUGAACCACCUGUGACAGAUUUCCACUCACCAGUGAUGAGUUCAGUACCGCCCCAGUCUGAUCACUAUGACUGAAAGGUAUUUUCUGAGCUGUGAGUUUGCCUUGGAGUGAAAGGUGACAAUAGUGGGAAGUUGGGUGGGCUUUAUAGCCAAUAGGAAGCUUUGUGGACUAGGUGGUGGUUUCUAUCAAAAUGUCUGUUGAGACCUACAUAGAUGUGCCUUUUGUCUCGGGGUGGUUUAGAGACUUAGUUCCCAAUCGUUCUUUCGCAGGGGAAAGGAGUAAGCCAUAUUUCUGUUCAACUCCAGUCUGAAGCUAAGAGGUCUGAAGAAAGAACAAAGCACACAUAAUGGAGUCCAACUCUCAAAGGAUAUCAAAAAUGGAAUUUUCUUAUACAACCUACCUGUUCAAAUUAGCAUACAAUCAUUUUAGCCUUUCUAAAUAAAACUUUUUGUUUUUUUAAACCUUCA